Molecule: ribosomal RNA, 872 nt
Filed under: uncultured archaeon
Lineage: Archaea
Description: bacterial SSU rRNA
Rfam family: Archaeal small subunit ribosomal RNA
Source: RNAcentral
UCCGGUUGAUCCUGCCGGACCUGACUGCUAUCGGAUUGGUACUAAGCCAUGCGAGUCAUUGUAGCAAUACAAGGCGGACGGCUCAGUAACACGUAGUCAACCUAACUCGUGGACGUGGAUAACCUCGGGAAACUGAGAAUAAACCACGAUAGAUCAUAGUGCCUGGAAUGGCUUAUGGUCCAAACAGUUUACUGCCAUGGGAUGGGACUGCGGCCUAUCAGCUUGUUGGUGAGGUAAUGGCCCACCAAGGCGAUUACAGGUACGGGCUCUGAGAGGAGAAGCCCGGAGAUGGGUACUGAGACACGGACCCAGGCCCUAUGGGGCGCAGCAGGCGAGAAACCUUAGCAAUGUGCGAAAGCACGACUGGGUCAGUCCGAGUGAUUCCUGAUAAAGGAGUCUUUUGCCUGUCCUAAAAGCACAGGUGAAUAAGGGGUGGGCAAGUCUGGUGUCAGCCGCCGCGGUAAUACCAGCACCUCGAGUGGUCAGGACGUUUAUUGGGCCUAAAGCAUCCGUAGCCGGCUCUGCAAGUCUUCGGUUAAAUCCACCUGCUCAACAGAUGGGCCGCUGGAGAUACUACAGAGCUAGGGAGUGGGAGAGGCAGACGGUAUUCAGUGGGUAGGGGUAAAAUCCUCUGAUCCAUUGAGGACCACCAGUGGCGAANGCGGUCUGCCAGAACACGUUCGACGGUGAGGGAUGAAAGCUGGGGGAGCAAACCGGAUUAGAUACCCGGGUAGUCCCAGCUGUAAACGAUGCAAACUCGGUGAUGCAUUGGCUUAUGGCCAAUGCAGUGCCGCAGGGAAGCCGUUUAAGUUUGCCGCCUGGGAAGUACGGACGCAAGUCUGAAACUUAAAGGAAUUGGCGGGGGAGCACAA